CUCCAUUCGCCAUUCCAUAAGUAUGCCUGCUAUGAGACGAAAGUAGGCGGUACGAACCCUAAUGGAGGCAGUUUUGAGGAGGUCCUCAGCUCCACGGCCCAUGCCAGUGCCCAGAGCUUGGCAGGAGGCUCCCGGCGGACCAAGGAGGAGGAGCUGCAGUGCUAAGUCCAGCCAGCGUGCAGCUGCAUCCAGAAACCGGCCACUACCCAGCCCAUCUCUGCCUGUGCUUAUCCAGAUAAGAAGACCAAAAUCCCGCUGGGAAAAACCCAGGCCUUGACAUUGUUAUUCAAAUGGCCCCUCCAGAAAGUUUAAUGAUUUCCAUUUGUAUUUGUGUUGAUGAUGGACCACUUGACCAUCACAUUUCAGUAUUCAUAGAUGACUGUCACAUUUUAAAAUGUUCCCACUUGAGCAGGUACACAACUGGUCAUAAUUCCUGUCUGUGUAAUUCGAUGUAUAUUUUUCCAAACAUGUAGCUAUUGUUUGCUUUGAUUUUUGCUUGGCCUCCUUUAUGAUGUGCAUGUCCUUGAAGGCUGAAUGAACAGUCCCUUUCAGUUCAGCAGAUCAACAGGAUGGAGCUCUUCAUGACUGUCUCCAGCAAUAGGAUGAUUUACUAUAAAUUUCAUCCAACUACUUGUGAUCUCUCUCACCUACAUCAAUUAUGUAUGUUAAUUUCAGCAAUUAAAAGAAUUGAUUU
This 694-nucleotide long non-coding RNA is filed under the name Homo sapiens (human). RNAcentral describes it as "long non-coding RNA NONHSAT207986.1". The record is from RNAcentral. Lineage: Eukaryota; Metazoa; Chordata; Mammalia; Primates; Hominidae.